This 752-nucleotide ribosomal RNA is filed under the name fungal sp. RNAcentral describes it as "eukaryotic LSU rRNA". The stretch from base 506 to 752 matches the Rfam family "Eukaryotic large subunit ribosomal RNA", at positions 1 to 243 of the family's 3401-position model. Lineage: Eukaryota; Fungi. The record is from RNAcentral.
CAUUACCGAGUGAGGGCCCUCUGGGUCCAACCUCCCACCCGUGUUUAACGAACCUUGUUGCUUCGGCGGGCCCGCCUCACGGCCGCCGGGGGGCAUCCGCCCCCGGGCCCGCGCCCGCCGAAGACACCUGUGAACACUGUCUGAAGUUGCAGUCUGAGAAACUAGCUAAAUUAGUUAAAACUUUCAACAACGGAUCUCUUGGUUCCGGCAUCGAUGAAGAACGCAGCGAAAUGCGAUAAAUAAUGUGAAUUGCAGAAUUCAGUGAAUCAUCGAGUCUUUGAACGCACAUUGCGCCCUCUGGUAUUCCGGAGGGCAUGCCUGUCCGAGCGUCAUUGCUGCCCUCAAGCACGGCUUGUGUGUUGGGCCCUCGUCCCCCCCACCGGGGGGACGGGCCCGAAAGGCAGCGGCGGCACCGCGUCCGGUCCUCGAGCGUAUGGGGCUCUGUCACCCGCUCUUGUAGGCCCGGCCGGCGCCAGCCGACCCCCCUCAAUCUAUUUUUUCAGGUUGACCUCGGAUCAGGUAGGGAUACCCGCUGAACUUAAGCAUAUCAAUAAGCGGAGGAAAAGAAACCAACCGGGAUUGCCCUAGUAACGGCGAGUGAAGCGGCAAGAGCUCAAAUUUGAAAGCUGGCCCCCUCGGGGUCCGCAUUGUAAUUUGCAGAGGAUGCUUCGGGAGCGGUCCCCAUCUAAGUGCCCUGGAACGGGCCGUCAUAGAGGGUGAGAAUCCCGUAUGGGGAUGGGGUGCCCGCGCCC